Molecule: non-coding RNA, 27 nt
Filed under: Mus musculus (house mouse)
Lineage: Eukaryota; Metazoa; Chordata; Mammalia; Rodentia; Muridae
Source: RNAcentral
UGCCUCACUGGAAGACUAGAAGCUUGC